Molecule: long non-coding RNA, 1057 nt
Filed under: Anas platyrhynchos platyrhynchos (common mallard)
Lineage: Eukaryota; Metazoa; Chordata; Aves; Anseriformes; Anatidae
Description: lncRNA (ENSAPLG00000029181.1)
Source: RNAcentral
CUGAGAAGAAGCAGUUGACCCUUUAACAUUUUUACAAUGAAUUAAUCAAAAUUGUCCCAUCUCAAGGCAAGCUCAUUCCACUUACCCCUCUGUCGAUUCGUUUCCAGUCAGUCCAUGGCUGGGGAUUAUGAUGGUGUUACUGCUAUGGUGCUGCUAUUUUGGGAUUGGGAUUUUGGCUGUCUGUUGGAGGCAGGAGAGGCUUUAAGCAGCAAGAGUUCAGUCUUCACCAGCUCAGCCGGUGGUGAUAUAUUAAUGUUUACGAUGACCGUUGGACAUGUAAUUGGGGUUCUGGCCUGCCCUUUGGAUUAAGCUUUGAUUACCUGUCAAACCAGGACGCUUGACAAGUUCUCAGCUGGUGUCAGUGAAAUGCUCGGCACAUUCCCACCCCAACAUUGACCCUGUGAAUUUACAUGUGAAGUAGCUAUGGACAAAAGAUAAGGCCCUGUACUUUUUUUCCACUGUUUUCUUAGAAGAAAUAUAUUAAUAUAUUAUGAAACAUUGACUUCACUUUUUACCGAGUUCUUUCCGACCACAAGAUUUGCCUCAGUUCUCUGUUUUUGGUUUCUUCUUAUCCAGCUUCUUUUUUCUUUUUCAUUUCUUCAUUUUUAUUUUUAUUUUUUUUCGUUUUAACUAUCACUCUUCCUUACUCCUCUCUCAUUUCCUCUCCCAAACAGAAAGGGAAUUUAAAUUGCAACUGGUCGCAGAUGUAAAACCGGCAAGAGCGUGCUCCAAAGACACUCUCUUUUAUUGGGUUCAUCCAGAGGUCAAAGAGGUUGGCUGCGGGACAAGACAGAGCAAAAACCUACCCAAGCCCUACUGUGUCAUCAUCAUCCUACUUGGCUGCCAGCAGGAUGUGACAGGAGAGGUGGAGGAAUGCUGCUCCGUCGCUGUGCAUGCAGAGAGUUGGGAUAAUGAAGAUACAUUGCCAAGCCUUGGCAUGGGCCACCACACUUUUGGGGUGGCCCAGGAGAGAGGCGGGCAGCUUUGGACAGGAAUGGGCCAACUUCAAAAAGAUCUGCAGUUUGCGUUCCUUCCAUAUAAACAUCUCGGGGUUUAG